AACGCACAUUGCGCUCUCUGGUAUUCCGGAGAGCAUGCUUGUUUGAGUAUCAGUAAAACACCUCAAGUCCGCUCUUCAUCUUUUUGAAGACGGAUUUGGACUUGAGCGAUCCCAACAGGAGGGGCUUUCCCUUCUGGCGGGUUGCUUGAAAUGCAGGUGCAGCUGGAUUUUCAUCUGGGCUAUAAGCAUAUUUAUUUAGUCCCGUUAAACGGAUUAUUACUUUUUGCUGCAGCCAACGUAAAGGUUGAUUGUCCUCUUGCUGACUGAUGCAGGAAUUUUCGGGGGAUCGGCAACGAUUACCCGUUAAACUCGAUCUCAAAUCAAGUAAGACUACCCGCUGAACUUAA
This 347-nucleotide unclassified non-coding RNA is filed under the name uncultured Mortierella. Its description in RNAcentral is "sequence contains ITS2". Lineage: Eukaryota; Fungi; Mortierellomycota; Mortierellomycetes; Mortierellales; Mortierellaceae. The record is from RNAcentral.